Non-coding RNA from Clostridium cavendishii DSM 21758, 107 nucleotides. NCBI's taxonomy places the organism in Bacteria, Bacillati, Bacillota, Clostridia, Eubacteriales, Clostridiaceae. The record is from Rfam.
GAAACCUUUAAUUUGAUCCCGUGAGGUCAAUAAGGAAGUUAUAUAAUGUCAUUUUAAGAAGUUUAGCAUUAUUAAGCCUUCCUAUUUUUAGGAAGGCUUUUUUUAAA